Molecule: long non-coding RNA, 799 nt
Organism: Xyrauchen texanus (razorback sucker)
Lineage: Eukaryota; Metazoa; Chordata; Actinopteri; Cypriniformes; Catostomidae
Exons: 3
Source: RefSeq, a predicted model, not a curated record
UUUUUUGACCAUUUUUUCAAAAUAACUUGAAAUCCUAUUCCUAACCCACUUACUGGCUGUAAAUUAGAAGCACUGAAAUGAAAAUUAAGCAAUUUAAUCAUCUGUGGAACGGGCAGGACUCGAAAAACUCCAGCCAAUCAUUUUCAAGACCAUCUAGAAUCAUUGGACAGAAAAUGUGUCAAUCAAACGGUCAUACCAUGCCCCCCUCCCCCCACCACCCUGGCGCGCGUGUCCCGUUCGUGCGCAUACUCAAAGCUCGUGACCCAGUAACAGGAAGCGAUUGUAUUUAUGUAUGGAGAAUAGAGCUUUUAUAGUGCUAGUGGGGUUGUUCCACAUUUCUAUGAAUCCUGUUUUGAAUAGAAGACCGCUGUACAGACGCCAGGGCUGGCUAUGUUCUUUUUUUUUACAGUUAUGAGAAAAUCAGCUCUACACCUUUCAAGAGUGGUAUGCGAACCCCUCCUCCUGCUGUGUCAACAAUUUGCUCUGAAAAAUUGUCUGACAGGUGAAUGCACUGUUUGACUAGUGAGUCUAGAACACUGCUAGAACACUGCACAUCUGAGUUUUCGCUCGUGCAUGAUUGCGCGUCCAUGUUUUUCGAAUGGGUGGAGUCAGGGCCAGCGUUGGAGGAGAGAAGAUUUAAAGCUUAUGGUGCAUGUGCAGAAGAGCAUGGGAACAGAGCAGAGAGACAUGCAAGUUCAGUUCGGCUGGCGAAUUAAAGGGAGAGUCUCCUGACUCCUGUCAAAUCAAAUCACACACCUGAACAGCAGCAACAGAUUUGGCGCCAUCUGUUCAAGCGCAG